Molecule: small nuclear RNA, 163 nt
Organism: Vulpes vulpes (red fox)
Lineage: Eukaryota; Metazoa; Chordata; Mammalia; Carnivora; Canidae
Gene: U1
Rfam family: U1 spliceosomal RNA
About the family: U1 is a small nuclear RNA (snRNA) component of the spliceosome (involved in pre-mRNA splicing).
Source: Ensembl
AUACUUACCUGGCAGGACAGAUAGCAUGAUCAUGAAGGUAGUUCUCUCAGGGUGAGGCUCAUCUAUUGCAUUCAGGUCAUUCUGACCCCUGCAAUUUCCUCAAGCACAGGGAAUUCAGCUGUACAAUUUCUGUUGGUAGAGGACUAUGUUCCAUGUUUCUUCU